CAUUGAUGUAUAUUAAAUAAACAGAUGAAAGUAGGUGAUUCAUGAUAAAACUAAAUAGCUGGGAGAUAUUCAGAACUGAGUAGACAAAAUUGAAUUAUUGGAAGAAUUUCCUUAAAGUCCUGGGUCUUAAGGGCUUAUGUCUCUAUUCAUGGUGCUUUAUUAAUAGUGGUUUUAUUUUUCAAUUUAUUGAAUAAGGUUUUCUGUUCCUAGUUUUAGAGAUGUUCAAAAUUAGAACAUUUUUGAGUUUUUCUGUGUAAAAAAAUGAAACCUAAAUUACACUGUUCUUUUGUUUUCAACUUUUUAAAUACAAGUCUCUUUCAAAAGAUUUCUCACUUGAGUUUAACCUUUGAGAAACCGAAAUAGAUUCUGAAGGUAUAACUUUCACUUAGUAAAUAGUUUUUUACCUUAUUCUAGUG
Molecule: long non-coding RNA, 416 nt
Filed under: Bos taurus (domestic cattle)
Lineage: Eukaryota; Metazoa; Chordata; Mammalia; Artiodactyla; Bovidae
Description: long non-coding RNA NONBTAT024291
Source: RNAcentral